CAUAUUUGUGACUUAUCGGGGAUAUCAAUAAAUAGCUUUCCUUCAUUUCAACGUAUUGUGUUAAAUACGCCAAAACCUUCUUCGCUAAGUUCUCUGAAUUUUCUUUUGUUGAAGCUUGUAUGUUGAAGCUUUGUGAGUGGAGCAUGUAGGUUGAGGUAGUAUUCCCUUAAUUUCCCGAGUGAGGAAAACUUCUCAGUUGGAGACUUGGAAAAUCCAAGUCACUGAGUGGGAUCGGCUAUAUGAAUCUUUGAACGCCAUUGUGCUCGGUCCUGUGUCAUGUCCUCCGUUAUAUCCAAGUACUCUAAGUCUUUUCUUAGAGUCUCUUCCAAAGUUUUCCUAGGUCUUCCUCUACCCCUUCGGCCCUGAACCUCUGUCCCAUAGUCGCAUCUUCUAAUCGGAGCGUCAGUAGGCCUUCUUUGCACAUGUCCAAACCACCGUAACCGAUUUUCUCUCAUCUUUCCUUCAAUUUCGGCUACUCCUACUUUACCCCGGAUAUUCUCAUUCCUAAUCUUAUCCUUUCUUGUGUGCCCACACAUCCAACGAAGCAUCCUCAUCUCCGCUACACCCAUUUUGUGUACGUGUUGAUGCUUCACCGCCCAACAUUCUGUGCCAUACAGCAUCGCCGGCCUUAUUGCCGUCCUAUAAAAUUUUCCCUUGAGCUUCAGUGGCAUACGGCGGUCACACAACACGCCGGAUGCACUCUUCCACUUCAUCCAUCCAGCUUGUAUUCUAUGGUUGAGAUCUCCAUUUAAUUCUCCGUUCUUUUGCAAGAUAGAUCCUAGGUAACGAAAACGAUCGCUCUUUGGUAUUUCUUGAUCUCCGAUCCUCACCCCUAACUCGUUUUGGCCUCCAUUUGCACUGAACUUGCACUCCAUAUAUUCUGUCUUUGAUCGGCUUAGGCGAAGACCUUUAGAUUCCAACACUUCUCUCCAAAGGUUAAGCUUUGCAUUUACCCCCUUCCUGAGUUUCAUCUAUCAACACUAUAAUCGUCUGCGAAAAGCAUACACCAAGGAAUAUCAUCUUGAAUAUGUCCUGUUAACUCAUCCAUUACCAACGCAAAAAGGUAAAGACUUAAGGAUGAGCCUUGAUGUAAUCCUACAGUUAUGGGAAAGCUUUCGGUUUGUCCUUCAUGAGUUCUUACGGCAGUCUUUGCUCCUUCAUACAUAUCCUUUAUAGCUUGGAUAUAUGCUACUCGUACUCUUUUCUUCUCUAAAAUCCUCCAAAGAAUGUCUCUUGGGACCCUAUCAUACGCUUUUUCCAAAUCUAUAAAGACCAUGUGUAAAUCCUUUUUCCCAUCUCUAUAUCUUUCCAUCAAUCUUCGUAAGAGAUAGAUUGCCUCCAUGGUUGAGCGCCCUGGCAUGAACCCGAAUUGGUUGUCCGAAACCCGUGUCUCUUGCCUCAAUCUAUGCUCAAUGACUCUCUCCCAGAGCUUCAUUGUAUGACUCAUUAGCUUAAUACCCCUAUAGUUCAUGCAAUUUUGUACGUCGCCCUUAUUCUUGUAGAUAGGCACCAAAGUGCUCGUUCGCCACUCAUUUGGCAUCUUCUUCGUUUUCAAAAUCCUAUUGAAAAGGUCAGUGAGUGAGCCAUGUUAUACCUGUCUCUCUUCCAAAACUUUCCACACUUCGAUUGGUAUAUAUCGUCUGGGCCUACUGCUUUUCUAUGCUUCAUUUUCUUCAAAGCUACAACCACUUCUUCCUUCCGGAUUCGACGAUAAAAAGAGUAGUAGUUUCUACACUCUUCUGAGUUACACAACUCCCCUAAAGAAGCACUCCUUUCAUGUCCUUCAUUGAAAAGAUUAUGAAAAUAACCUCUCCAUCUAUCUUUAACCGCGUUCUCUGUAGCAAGAACCUUUCUAUCCUCAUCCUUGAUGCACCUCACUUGGUUUAGGUCCCUUGUCUUCUUUUCCCUUUCUCUAGCUAGUUUAUAGAUAUCCAACUCUCCUUCUUUGGUAUCUAGUCGCUUAUACAUAUCGUCAUAAGCCGCUAACUUAGCUUCUCUCACAACUUUCUUCGCCUCUUGCUUCGCUUUUCUAUACCUUUCACCAUUUUCAUCGGUCAUAUCCUUGUAUAAGGCUUUACAACAUUCCUUCUUAGCCUUCACCUUUGUUUGUACCUCCUCAUUCCACCACCAAGUUCCUUUUGGUGUGGGGCAAAGCCCUUAGACUCUCCUAAUACCUCUUUUGCUACUUUUCGGAUACAACUAGCCAUGGAAUCCCACAUUUGGCUAGCUUCCCCCUCUCUAUCCCACACACACUGGGUGAUUACUUUCUCUUUGAAAAUAACUUGUUUUUCUUCUUUUAGAUUCCACCAUCUAGUCCUUAGGCACUUCCAAGUCUUGUUCUUUUUUCUCACUCUUUUGAUAUGUACAUCCAUCACCAACAAGCGAUGUUGAUUAGCCACGCUCUCUCCUGGUAUAACUUUGCAAUCCUUACAAGUUAUACGAUCCUCUUUCCUCAUUAGAAGAAAAUCUAUUUGUGUUUUUGACGACCCACUCUUGUAGGUGAUCACAUGUUCUUCUCUCUUCUUAAAGAAGGUGUUGGCUAAGAAUAGAUCAUAUGCCAUUGCAAAAUCCAAGAUAGCUUCCUCAUCCUCGUUUCUCUCCCCAAAACCAUGGCCACCAUGAAAACCUCCAUAGUUGCCUGUCUCCCUGCCCACGUGUCCAUUUAAAUCUCCUCCUAUAAAUAACUUCUCCGUCUGAGCAAUUCCUUGCACCAAGUCUCCAAGGUCUUCCCAAAAUUUCUCCUUCGAACUCAUAUCCAACCCUACUUGAGGUGCGUACGCACUAAUCACAUUGAUAAGUUCUUGUCCUAUUACAAUCUUGAUUGCCAUGAUUCUAUCUCAUACCCUCUUGACAUCUACAACAUCUUGUGUCAAGGUCUUGUCCACGAUGAUGCCAACACCGUUUCUCAUUCUAUUUGUGCCCGAGUACCAAAGUUUAAACCCUGAGUUUUCUAGAUCCUUUGCCUUAAGACCAACCCACUUAGUUUCUUGUAGGCACAUAAUAUUUAUCCUUCUCCUCACCAUAACUUCCACUACUUCCAUAGAUUUUCCCGUUAAGGUUCCUAUAUUCCACGUUCCUAAACGCAUUCUACUCUCCUGAACUCUACCCUUCUGUCCUAGCUUCUUCUCCCUCCCCCGUCCAAUGGAAUCAAAGUACUUCUUUUGUGUGUCCCGUGUAAAGUUGAUAGGUGCAUAUGCUCCCAAACAACUUUGAGUGGAGUCGUUCGAAAAGAAGUUUCUAUGGCCCCCUUGCUCAUUUAACACUGCAUCCGGGUGCCUAUGGAGAUACAGCGACCCUUGCUCACUUAUCACUGUGCUCGGGCCACACAGCGCGCCACUUACGGGUGACGCCCUAGCUUUAGCGCGAUUUCGUUCUGAAUUCAUUUUCAUAAGGAUUCGACGUAACUGUAGAGUGCCGGCUGUCGACUACCUGACGCCCUCCCCCUCCUCCUUUACCCGGGCUUGGGACCGGCAAUGUAAGAUAAACUUACAUAGGCGGAGUUCAUCUUUGUAAACCCAAUAAUGCUAAAUACUUUCCUGAUGAAAUGAUGCACGCUUCUAAUUCUAGAUCAACACCAUCAACAGUAUUUGAUGGCAUGAUAAAAACUGGUACUUCAAUUUCCAUCCUCCAACUUAUGAGAUGCUUCUAUUGGAGGAACAGCUUGAAAUUGCAAACCAGAUAGGGACGACUCGUUCACAAAUUUUUACAAACUUAAAUGACCUCGCUAUAGGAACGAGCUUCUUGUAAGUGCUGCGUUUACCUUGUUCGUGAUUGUUGGGUUCCGCUGAAUUGAGAAGAAAGAGGAGGGGUAAGAAGUGGGAAAUACUGUUGCUCCACUGCGGUAGUUUUAGGUGACAAGAGUUGAGAGUUUCCGGCUAACCAGUAUUGCUAGGCUCAGUGAAUCGUUCGGUUUUGUUGUGACGAGUAUAACAGCCUAGCAACCUAGUCAUUUGUUUCCGCUGAUGGGUUGUAAGUUAUCAUAGUCGUUAACCUUUGUCGGAGACCGCUACAUUUGUUCACAUGUAAUAACCGUAUUGAUGAAAUUACCAUGAGUUUUAACCACCUCAAUCUCUUUCGAACUCGAUUUUCUUCUUUUCAAGGACAUUUCUUUAUGCGCUUCUGAGGCGUAAUGCCAUUUUUUUAAAUAUUACAGCAAUGCCUUGUAACUCAAGACUCCUCUUUCGCUUUUGUGAAAGGAAGUUGAAAUUCUGGAUUUGAAUGGAAAUCAAAUUAUUGCACAUAUCAAACUAUAUUGUUUUCUGAAUAUAUGUUGAAAUUCCAAAUUCUUUUGGAACGGAACUGGAAGGGCGGGCAGAAGUUCGUUGGUGUUGCAGGAAAGGAAUGGCCUUUCUAACGUAUAUUCCGUCGUACCAACAUGGCCGCACUGAUUUGUUUUCGAUUGGAGCAUCAAGCAACUUCAGUGAUGGUGAGCUGGUCAAGUAAGGAGAAUCGACAAGGUGGAGAAGAUUUAAAAAGAAUCUGCAGCAGUGAGAGUCAAAUGACUGAUCGUGAUCGUCUGCAGAAGUUGUUUGAGUCUUCAAAUAUGUAAGCCUGUUCGCUGAGGUGAACAAGAAGGAGGCCCUGUAUGCCCUACUAUACGGCUGAAUCACCAUCUUUCUGCCCGAGCAACCUGGUCCCUAUUCGCUUGCUUGUUCGUUGGAUGCGUUGUUUUGUGUAACACGUAUUGAGGAAGUCAACUUCUGAUAUUAAUUUAAGACAGAUUUGGGUAUUGGUUUUUUUAUGUAAUUUUCAAUUCCAAAAAAUUGUGGAUUAUAAUCUCUUGAUUUCGAUUCGAUCUUUCCAAAAAUCAUAUUUACUGAUUACAUUGUUUUGUUCGGUAAAUAGAAGAUUAUGAGGAGUAAGGUAAAAUGUUUGUAAAACACAAAGUAAAAAGUAAAUCACUCAAUCGUUGUAUGAACUUUGAACGUCCUCUCCUUCCCCACCAACGAGAAUAACAAUCAAAUAUGAGGUGAAUAUAUCUAAUAGAAUUUUAGAAAACAACUGCACGAGGUAAACAAUGGCAGACGGAGACAGCAGGAGUGGUUUUCCACUGUUCCAUAAACCUCGUGGGCCUAUCAUGACGAUGCGCGUGUGCCCUAAUUUACUAAUUACUCAAGUGACUCUCUCUCCUCCUCCUCCUCUUCUCCCUCUUCAUGUAGUGGACCUAAUUUUUAUUCUAUUCGAAACAUUGUGACGUGAUGUUAUAAUUUAACUCAAAUUAUAUAAUGUAUGCCAAUCACGGUUGGCUGAGUUGGUAAGGAUUGUUUUUUUUUUUCUAGACCAAGACCUAGGUUCAAGUUCCGUUGCCAACAAUUCUUCUUAGUGGAUGAUACGUAAAAACUAAAAAAGGGGGUAAACCCCUAUCUAAAAACUAAAAAAGGAGGUAAGACCCCCUCUGUAAGUCCUUAAAGAGACUUGUGGUAUGUCCUAACCCUAAGAUGGAAUAGCCUCCCCUCUCCCUUAACUUUCAGCAAAUAAACAAAUGAUAUUAUGUAUAUUUUUUUUAUAUAGAAAAAAUACUACAUUAAAGAGAAAAGUCCCUAGGGCAACCGAUUUGGGUACAAUAAAAAAGGAAGGCCUGACGGGUUUCCUACGGAAGAGUUCUAUCCUAAACAUGAAAAUUAGAGACUGAAUAACCCACACUAGUUAUAGCAUCUGCCAGAAAAUUGACUUCCCGAAAGACAUGCUUCCUGCAAAUCUCCUUAAAUGACAUGGCAAGCUAGCAAAUAUCCUCCAGGAUGACCUUCAAUCUCCAAGGGGGGCAAUAGGCUCUACAGAUAGACUCAAUCACCAGCUUUGAAUCACCCUCCACCAUAAUGUGAGCCAAACCUUUGGCUUUAGCCAUCCAAAGGCCAUCCCUCAACGCCAGGCAUUCUGCAGUCGAAAUAGUGUUUUGACCAAUAAAUCUAGCUCCUGCAACAAUAGGCUCUCCCUUCUCAUUUCUAAUCACAAACCCAACAGCCGCACCUUGAUUCACCACAGAGCCAUCAAAGUUAAGUUUAACAAAACCAACAUUCGAAGGGGACCAUCGAAUAGAAAAUGGUGGAGAGGACCUGCUACCAUUGUAAACCACAGGAAUUAUACCAUUGGCAUCUAUGAAUUCCCUCCCUAUAUUGGGGUCCGACUUAACGAUCCAGGUAGGGUUUGGAAUUUUAUUUUGGAAAACCACAAGAUUCCUCUCCUUCCAAAUCUGCCGGCAAACUAGUAAAACUUUACUGAGAUCACACAAACCUACAUCAUUCUUAACAGUUAAUUCAUUGAGCCAAUCAUUAAAAGGAAGAAAUUGAUUUACUCUUAUGUUGUUAGAGAUAACUUGACAAUUCCAAACUAGCCUCACAAAAUUACAAUUUAUAAAUAAAUGAGAUAUGUUUUCAUCCUCUAAAUUACACAUAGGACAGGUGGAUGGGAUAUUAUUGACAUAUGUUGAUAAUCUGUCUCUUGUAUGAAGCCUUCCAAUUACGAGAAGCUAACUAAAAUUUUUAACUUUACGAGGGAGUUGAAGCUUCCACAUUUUCUUAAGAAGCUCUCUUACAUUCUCAUUGUUAUUAUCACUAUUUUGUAUCCAAGUUGCCGACUUAACUAAGAACUUACCAUUUGCAUUAGGCUCCCAUCAACACAUAUUGCAUUGGGGAGUUAUGGGGAAGGGAAUACUACAUAUUUUAUUCACAAUGUCCUCAUCGACUAAAGAUGAAAGUUCAUCUCUGUCCCAUUGUCCAUUAUUAAUGAAUUGACUCUCCUUCAUGUUUAGAUCGAUGUCAUUAACAUGAUUGGGAGAAAUAAAGUUGGAUAGAGGGAAAGGAAAAACCCAGUUAUGGGUCUAGAAGAGGAUACUCUCUCCAUUUCCCACAACCCAGCUCAGCCCCAUUUUGAUAAUAUCUCUAGCCUUAAGGAUACUUUUCCAGGCACAAGAGUGGUGAUGUCUGACUUUAGUGUUAAGCUCUCUCUUCAAGUAUUUAUUCUUAACAAUCUAUACCCACCAAUUUUGAUUAUCCGUUAGGACUUUCCAGCCAAGUUUUGCUAAACGAGCAUUAUUAAAGUGAUCACUUUUCAUAAAUUUCAAUCCACCAUUUUCCUUAGAGCUGCAAACUCUAUCCCAAGCCACAUGGACAAGUUUGCAAUCUUUUCCCCAAAAAACUUUCUACUUUCACUAUAUAUAGUUUUUGUGAUUUUCUUCGUUCAUAGAGAGAAGAAAUACUCUAGAAACCACCCAAACGCAACAAUAAUUGAAGCAAUUGGGCAGAACCCUAACCCUAGAAAUUUUCCCUUUUCCCCCUGUCGACUCUCAUUUUAGUGAAGCCUUUAUUUAUAUUAAUAUACCUUAGAAGUGAGCCUUAUAAAAUAAUUUAUCAUUUGUAUUAUAACAUGUGUUCUUAGAUAUACACAAAACUUUCUCAAUGAAGUCCUGCACAUAGGAAAAAAGAUGAUGAUAACUCACGUGCAAAUAAUUCGAUCCAUCUCUUUGGGCAAGGGGAAUGAAUGACUGGAAACAUAGAAGAGAAAUAUAAAGAGCAUCUUCUAAUUAGGGUUUCGGUUUCGUAAAAGAAAAGUGCAUGCAUGUGGGAAGGUGGUGUUGUGUUAUGGGACCAAUGGAUUCAAAGAAUGUCGAGCUAAAGCACAACAUUAAGUCCUUCAUUUCAAAUGUGAUGAAUGGGAGAGAGGCCAUGGAGUGUGAGGAGUUGUUCCCUCUCAUGUCCCAAUCCAUCACUACUACUUCCCUUAUCUCUUUCCAUUUUUUAUAGGUAUAUAUUUCUUUGCAAUAUUUUGUCAACUUUUUUUGGGCAUAGCGUUUUUAAUAUUUUUUUUUUGGCGCAAUGGAAAUGUUGCUCCUUUAUAAUCAAAAGGUCACGGGUUCAAGUCAUAGAAAUAGUCUCUUUGCAAAACAAGAGGAAGAUUGCGUACGGUAAACGUCUUCCCCCACCGAACUCUCGCAAAACGGAGAACCUUACUAACUUGGAGUAGCCCUUUUAAAUUUUUAAUUUUCCAAAAAAGGCAUUGCACUACUAGAAAAUCUAGAACUAGAAGUGGGAUUUUAGUAGUGCAUACUGAUGUUAUGAGAGAGAGAGACAUACUGAUGUUAUGAGAGAGAGAGAGAGAGGAACACAAGUGUUUUGACAAUGGCCAAAGUUGAGGUAGUGUUUGAAUUUCUGUUUUCUAAUGGGUCCAAUUCCACGUCCAAAUCAAAACUUUGGCAAUGGCCACCCUGAUGAUUCACUGCUUCUUGACAAAACCAAAAUUAACUUUUAAUUUGUUUUCCUUUUUAUCUUUACCUUUUUAAUUAUUUUUUACAUGGUCUCUUUUACUUCAUUACUGUCAAAACGACAGCCCCCCGAGCAUUAGAUGACAGUAAAACAGCAGCAUAAAACAAUGUUCUUACAAUCUCAUUUUUAUUAGCAUGUCGCCUUUCCUUCCCUUAAUUUAGGAAAACUCGUUUCAUGUUACUCUCUCUCUCUCUCUCUCGUUUUAAUUAGAAUUAAGUAUUUCCUUCCCUUGAUUUAGGAAAACUAGUUUCAUGUUAGUCUCUCUCUCUCUCUCUCAACAUGAGUGUGUAUUUCUUUUCUUUCAUGACCGAUCAUGUUAAGAAAGAAAUAAAGAGAUAAGAAUACUGAUUUCGGUAUAGGUAAGUUACUCUUGUCAUUUAGGCAGGAUAAAUGAUACCAUAAUUAAUAUCUUUUCUUUUGAGGCUUAAAAAAUCUUACACUCAAUUCUCAAGUUUGUUAGUACAUCAUACGUGGUCAUUUUGAUUUUCCCCUCCUCCUGAUUAAUUUAAGUCAAACUUGUGGUUUUAGUGGUGCAACCUCUCGAACUUUGUGCUAGCAGCCAAAAAUUAGUGGAGGAAAGGAAACCCUAAAUCUAUACGAAAAUACUCAAUUAGGUAAAAUGGUUUUCAUGUACCAUUAUUCAGAUUUUCAGAUGAGAGAAAGAGACUUGCACCAAUAAUCCGAGUCCAAUAUAUUCAUUUCAAACAGAUACACACAAACAUAUAUACAAGCGUGUUAUAUAGUCAUUUCGAAAUCAUAUCAGAUUUUGAGUCUUUGACUCAGAAGUGUGGCUUAAAUUAAAAGCUUGCAGAAUGUCCUUGGACUGUAAGGAGUUCGCAUUAUCCAUCCAUAUGCCCUAUAAUUAAAAGCCUACGUCAGUCAUCAAAUACAUUCAAAAAAUUAUUUCCAAUCUUCAUCGAUCGAUCCCUUUGACUUGAUCGAGAAAGUGGGAGAGACUAUAUAUACAUAUAUACAUAUGUAUAUAUCAUCACCCACUUAGUUAUAGGGGUGUGAUAUCUACACACCUAAUUUUAUUUCUCACACACUUUUUUCAUUUUCGACCGUCGGAUCAGAUGAAUUGAAGAAAAUCAACGGAUAAAAAUUAACAAGAGGUGUGUGAGAAGUAAUUUGGGAUGUGGAUAGCACAUCCCUAGUUAUAACUUAUAUAGGAUGAUGGCAUCAGCACCAUUAUUAUAAAGAUAUACGUAUAUUUAUGUAUAUAUGGUUUAAAAUGCAGCCACUUAGCAUGGUCUGACUCUGACCUGACCAUCCCUCCGAGUCGACGUUGAUAAUGAUUUCCUUGUUGAAUGAUGUUAAAUGAGGGGGUUUGCGUGAAAGCAAUGACAGGCCAGCAUGCUCCAGUUCCAGCCACUUUGGCCAUGGAAAUCAGAUUAAGACAGUCCGCAUGGUGCAACACACACUUGAAAAUUACCAAUUUUUGUAGUCUCUUUUUCGAUCAUUUGCUAAUUAAAUAUGAUUUUAAUUUGUUUUGCCUUAGCUCUCAUAGUGUACUUGGUUACCAUCAUGAAGCUAAUUGGACCCUCUUCUUGUUUCAUCAUCUCAAUCCUUGACCUAGUACUCUCAUAAUUAGAUGGGUCAUAUCCAUAUAUAUCAACGUAAAAAACUUGCAGUUUAGUUGGUCAAGAGUCUUACCAUCCAGGUCUUGUUCCUUCCUUUGUAUUAUCAAAUGCAUAAAUAAAUAAAUAAGAUUUCUAAAAUGAUCAAAAUACAAAUCUUUGCUAAAAUGAUUCAGAAUCUUGUAUAUAUGUUGUCACUAUUUGCUUUGAAUUAUUUCAGUAAUUAUAAUUUGUAAACUCUUCAUUUCAACCAAUUUCUCUAAAAAAAAGCUUAUCCAUAUCCAAGUUGGCCAUAUGAAUUACACAUAUGUAUACACUCUUUUCACCAUGAUAGUACUGUGAUUUCGGAAAGUUCAAUUAUAUAUAACACCAUUUGAAUUAUAAAAUCGAAACUUUAGUCAACGCUCAAGUAAUGGAAUUGACUAUAUCAUGUUGUCUCCCAUGCAGAUGCAAUGCUGCCUGUUUCCGAUUAUAAAUUUCAAAUUAAAAUUUACAUAUAUGAAGUUAUUUUGAAUGUUAAGAAGUAAAUUGAAAUAAGUGGUGGAUUGCCUUAGUGGAUAGGGUUUUUCUAAUUUUUUUUUUCAACUCCAAUUUGUUGAAAUUUUUUAGAUUGACAGGUCCAAGGGUUCCAUUCUAACAACACCGAUAUUGUUCCUAACUUUACCACCUACUCAAUCCGUCAGGUGUGGGGUUUUACUACAAAAGGCUUCGGUAUUAGUUAGAGUAGGGUGAUCAUAUUUAAAGCCACCCUUGUUGACUACCCUCACCGACGUGGGACUAGCAACAUGCCCCCUCACGUGUAAACCCAUUUAGUGGUCCACACGUGAAGAUCCACACAUCGGUAAUUAAAACAACCCAAUUUAAUGGUUCACACAUGGAGAUCCACACAUCGGCAAUUGAAACUCAGAGGUCACCACCAUGGAGUCUACACUUGUUUUCAGUCUUUUCAGGAAGGAUAUUGUCUCAAUCCGUCAGGUUUUAGUGUUUUACCACAAAAGACUCGGUAAUGUUAGAGUAUGGUAAUCAUAUUUAAAGCCACCCUUGUUGACUUCCCCCCCCGGAUGUGGGACUGCCAACACAUUUCAGAUCCUAAACUGUUUUUGUAUAAAUUAAAAUAGUUAUAUCGCUUAUAAUAAAAAAAUUAUACUGAACAUUAAUUUAUAUCAAAUUUAGCGAUCCUGCUUCAUUAUUUGACUAGUUUUUAUAUAGAAGUCAAAUGCAGCAUUUUAUAACAGAUACAAAGUGCAUGUUACCCAUUUUUUUUCAGCUUAGUCGGCAGAGAAUCCAAGAUCUUCUUUGAUUCAAUAACAUUCGGUACAUUGCAUUCGUAACAAAAAGCCAUAUUCGCAUGUAAAAAACAAAACCCCUUCUUCUUAAUUUAUUCUUUAUAUACAAUAUUAUCUGAUCAAAUCACAAUCUUCGAAAUUGAUGUAAACAAUUUAAUUCUAAAUUAAUAAAAUUUCUUGUCUUUGAAAAAAAAAAUGGUAAUCUUGGAUUUGCACUGAUACUCGCAACUUCGAUAAUAUUUGACUGUUUGACUAAUGGUAAUCAUAUUAGUGUGCGUAAUUAUAAAUUUAUAAGAACACUAUAACAAAUCUGGAAUCACGUACGAUCAGGGGUUAGAGCUGUUUAAUCUGCUUGUGCGACGGAUCUAGUUUUCACCAAUUGUCCAUUCAGUUUCUGCCAAGUGUCAUGGUCGUGCAGAUGCAGACCAAGAAUAUACUGGGAGCUUGGUUGGCUUCCUUUUCCAACAAUUCUUGAAAAGCUAGCUUUUUUUUCAGCAAAACAAACAAGUGGUACGUAGUACAUUGCUAUCAGUUGAUCUUUUAUAUCACUGCAAAUCCCGUUGCCUCUAGAUAUUAGCAAUGCAACAGACAAAAGACAAAAAAGAUGUUAAAAAUGGUGCAUACUCAAACCCUAUUAAUAUAUAUAUAUAUAUAUGUGUACAUACAUACAUAUGUGCACACUAUGAUAAUGGAUAAUACUUUUCUCAUUUCGGUAAGGAGGAAACCCUAAUAGUUAUAGUUGAUCUUGUCAAUAUUUGUUUCCACACAUACAGAUAGUCAAACAAACAAUUCCGAGUUUUGCAGUAAAAUAAUGACACGUAAUGGAGAAUUACUUCGUUACCAAAAAUAAAGAAUUUAUUAUUCUAAUAUAAUAUUGAUCAACUUGAUAUGUAUCAUAAUAUUGAAAUCCCCGCAAACAAUGAGAAAGUAUAAAGCUCUUAACCCUCCCAUUCAUUACGAAUUAUAUACAUACGCAUGUCAAAUUAACCCCUUCUAUGCAAUAUCCAUGUGAACUAAGGACUCAUUAGAACAAAACUUGGCAGUCGGCAUUGCCUUUUUAUCUUUGACAGGAUGAAAAUUGUAAUAAUUAAACUAGUUGUACGUGUUUAGAGAGAAAGAGAGAAGCACUUUAACCAAGAUAUGGAGAUGGAGAGGUGUAGGAAGGGGGUGAUGGCUUGCCUAUUCAUUUUCCGACAAGUAAACAAAGGAAAUCGUCUCUGCCGUUCCAUUGGUAGGCAAAAGCUACGGCAAAGUAAAAAGGAAACAAACCUUUGAACAUCGUCUCUCUCUCUCUCAGGCAGCAAGACCACACUUCCUGCUCACCAUGUGAUGAGGAAUGAGUAAUCUAGUGCCUUUUAUUUAAUCUUAUAUAUAUCCCUAUUUUGUCUACACCCAAAAAUACUUUUUUUUUUCGCCAUACAAUUAUGUUAUUUAGAUGCACACAAUAACAGAGCUACGGAAUUAAUGGAUUCAAAUAAUGGUCAUGCUUGGUCUUUCACUAAUUAAUCUCGUUUGAUGUUCAUUCGAGACGUCAAUAUUUAAUAUUUACCCUAAAAUCUUUGAUGAUGAAAUAUCUUUAAGAAAUAACGAAGGUAAAGGAAAGGAGAUUGAGGAUUGUGAGGCAUGGUACUGAAACAUUUCUCAACAUUGUGAGGUUGGGAGCUUCUUUAAUUAUAUCUCGAUUGUAAAAAAAUUCUGACUCCGUCACCAAACACACUUUAUUAACUACAUUGAUAACACAAUAUUUUAUAAAGACAAGUCUUACUAUCGUUUGUGAGAUUAUAUGUAUUAAAGUAUGUGUUAACAACGUAAUCAGUUUUGUAUAUUCAAACUUGGUGUAUUAUCAUUAUGUUAGCUAGCUAGCUAGGAUGCAUGGUGAAGCAUACUCUCCAUCAUGUCACUCUUCCAAGUCAACCUAAGGCCCCGCACAGCCGCUACCCUUCGAUGAAUUCAAUUUCAAACAACAUAUAUACUUAAGGUUGGUAUUUGCACUAUAGGAAUAUUACUACCACAUCUAAUGGCACCUAAAAAAAUGUGGUUUGUGGCCAACUCUUGGGUCAAAAUCCUACUUUAAGCUAAGGAAAGGUAAGGGAUAUUACAAUUUUGUACCACAUUAGUGUAUUAUCUGAUAUUGCAAGUGAUGCGUACAUGCCACGUCAAUUAAUGAAUUUAUCUCAUUAAAUGUUAAUUGUAUGAAUCACUUGCCACAUGUGAUAGUACACCAAUAUGGUAUGUCUAGCAUUAUUCUUUUAAGUUAGCAUAUCAACCUUUCUUCUUUUUUUCUUUUCAUCUUUAUCAUUUUACAUAGAAUACAAUAUAAUAUUCCUGGAGAAAUUUAAAAUAUAUAGAUCCAUGAUCAAAUGAGAAUUAUUAAGCAGUAUAUACUAAAUAAACUUUCUUGUUUCAUAGAGCUUAUAGGACCUAAUAAGUCCUUCGGGUUAACCCAAAUGACGAAGAAAAAUCGCCCAUAAUAAUUCAUUUUCCUGUAGUGUAUAGGUUACGAAACAUGUUAGGGUUCAACUUCCUCAAACGUAAGAAGGAAGUUAAAUAGAUCUUAUUUGGUAGUAUUGUUUUCCCAAAUUAAGCUAAUUACUAAUCAUAACAAAAUUUAGUUUGUGAGGUCACUACUUUUCUUCUUAGAUUAGAGCUGGCUUUGCCAUUGGGUACGCAUCUUUCCUUCUCAAGUUAAAGUUGUUGGAUAAAAUAAAUAAUAAAUAAUACACGACAAAUAAAUCAGUUGAUGAGAAACUAGUUUAUUUCUUCAGAACAAUCAAAAGGAAAAACCAAUAAUGGUAUGGCCCUCCUACUCCAUUUUUGUAGAACAAACAGCAUCUAAAAAAUAAAAAAUAAACGUUUUCAGCAUACAAACAUCCCCCUAACAGUUCCUCUUUACCGACUAAUGUUUUAACUACAAAAUUAACCGGAAAAGACAAACCAAUGCUUUAACUACAAAAUUAACCAUGCCUUGUGUAGGUGGUCGUGACAGCGGCGGCAACGUUCUGCCAUUUCAAGAUAUGAAUUAGGAUUAUGCUGUACUAUAUAUAUUGUAACCGAUUGGUCUUGUCUUGCUUUCUCAAUCUGUUGUGAGUUUUUUGCUUAUCUGUUUGUUGGGCUGGUUGGCUUUAUCCAAAUGUGGUACAUUAUAUUGUUCAAUGAAUGUUUCUCUUUCGACCAAAAAAACCAUGCCUUGUGUAUGUCGGCGUCACAUUUUUCUCAAAUUCACUCCUUGAGAAACCUUUUAGUGACAGAUAUUCUGUUACAUAUUUGUUUAGAUGUUAUGAUAUGUAUGGACAACAUAGUUGUUUUUUCGUACUGUUUUACACAAUUAAUAUAGAAACUUAAAAGUUUCUAUAGACUGAAAUCAAACUCACAGAGUCUGGUGUGAGUCUUAAAGAGUGAGUGUAGUUGUUGAGUGUCAUACAUGUAUCUAAUGAGUCUGGAGUCCUAUAUAACAGCAUACCACAAUUAUUAAACUCACCCUACUAAAGUAAAUAGUAGUGUGUUAUAGGAAUCAAACUCAGAUAACUUAUCUAUUCUAUUAAGAGAACCCUCCUUGUCAACUUUUUGCCCUCUUUUUUUUCUUUCUAUUUACCCUCAUUUUUGAUACACAAUAUUGACAUGAAGAGGACAAAUUAGUAAUUUUGUAUAUUUUGAGAAAAUGACAAUCAUAUCCCAAUUUUUCCGAUUUUACUCUCACUUUUGAUACACAAUAUUUACAUAGAAAGAUAAAACAUUAAUUAUGUAAUAUUAAGAAAAAAUAUGCACUUAUUAAGAGAAACUGUCACAUCAUUAUUAUUUCAUACUCUUUUUAAAAUUUUAAAAACUAAUUAAACUCCUUAAUAAAAAUUAGAAAACAAAAUAAAAUUGUUCACACAUCCAAAAUGUGUGCUCAUUUGCUAGUUCAUAUAUAAAAGAACCAAGCCGACAUAAACCAUCUUGAAAAGCAAAAGCAGUAAAAAGUUUUGCGACCUUGCGUGGUAAUAUCACUGUAUGCACCAUGUCAUUUACCCACGCUAUAAAACCUAGCACGAUCAAUUAGUAACACGUGGGGUCGUGCGACCAUCGUAUUUGAAAAAAUUUCUUAAUUAUACACAUAUUUUGAUAGAGACUGACAAGUAAUAUCAAGUGGCAAUGACCGAAAAUUCCUCCUCUCCCUCUUUUGAUUUUAUUUAAUAUUUUAAUAUUUAUUUAUUAGACUUUAUAUGUAACGCCCACAGCACCUCACGAGCUUAAUUUACAUGUACAAAGCUUAGCCAAAGCUUUUCUUCCUCCACCACCUCCCUCCAUUAUUUCCACUAUCUUCCUCUGUUCUCUCUCUCUCUCUCUCUCCAACUCCCACACUUCAAUUCUCUCUCUCUUUCUCUCACUCACUCGUUCUACUCAGACAUCUUCUUCUUCGUCUUCUUCUCAAAUUUAAACAUUUUUGUUAAUUUAUCAUAAAAUAUUUACUCAUGGCACUUGAGACUUUGCUUCUCAAGGUGAAGACAGCAAUCUCCCACCGCUUCGACGUCGUGCGAACCUUCACGCACCACCCGCACCACCAACUCAAACCGGUAAGGAAGUCAAACGUCGGCGUCUUGGCCUUCGAGAUUGCCGGCCUCAUGUCGAAGCUCAUCCACCUCUGGCAGGCCCUGUCCGACAAGAACAUGAUCCGCCUCCACAACGAGUCCAUCUCCCCCGAAGGCGUCCGAAAAAUAGUCUCAAACGACGACGAUUUCCUCCUUGCCCUCGCCUGCGCCGAGCUCGUUGAGAAUCUCCGCCUCCUCGCCAACUCAAUCUCCCGACUCAGCACCAAAUGCGAGGACUCCCACCUCCGCUCCUUCGACCGCCUCUUCCUCGAGUUCGCCAACUCCGGCCGCGAUCCGUACAAUUGGGUGCUCGGAUUUAAAGAAAUGGAUGCUAACAAUGUCAAGAAGUUGGAGAGGUAUGUCACGAUCACGUCCACCCUCCACAGAGAGAUGGACGAGCUUAGUGCGCUCGAGAGCGCGCUGGGAAAAGCCUGGAAGUACAACGAGUACGAAAUUAAUAAUCAUUCCGCGCCGAUGACAACUAGUACUAAAGAGCAAAAAAUCGUCGAUCUUCAGCAGAAGAUCUUGUGGCAGAGAAAUGAGGUGAAGUAUUUGAAGGGCAGAUCGUUGUGGAGCAGAAGCUUCGACACGGUCACUUGGGUUAUGGCGAGGUCGAUUUUCACUGUUCUUGCGAGGACAAAGCUCGUUUUUGGUAUCGGACAAUGCCCUCCGUCGUCUUUGCCUCGGAGUCUCUCGGCCUCAGCUACUGUCCAUCCGUCCAACCAAUCGACAUGUCAUUUCGUAUCGGGGCCCUUGAGAUCCCCGAAGCUUGAUCAACAAGAUUACAAAAAUUCUCUGUGUAAGACGUACGUCACGAGUAUCACAAAGAUUGACCAUCAAGAUAAAAAAAAUUCUCUGUCCAGGACCAUCGUUGAUAUGAAAGACAGUUCGGAAGAUAUUGGGUUUUUUGAGUCCUACUCGAAGCUCCUCAAGCCACCGGCGAGCACAUUAGGCGCGGCGGCCUUGUCGCUUCACUACGCUAACUUGAUCAUAGUGAUGGAGAAGAUGAUAAAAUUCCCACAAAUGGUUGGCGUCGACGCGAGGGACGAUCUCUACUCGAUGUUGCCGAGCAGCGUAAGGUCUUUGCUACGCGCCAGGUUGAGAGGGGUAGGGUUUUCCGCCAGCGAUCCGGUACUAGCCGGCGAGUGGAGGGAAGCGUUGGGGAAGAUCCUAGAGUGGUUGGCGCCGUUGGCGCACAAUAUGAUAAAAUGGCAAAGUGAGAGGAGCUUUGAGCAACAAAACACGAUGCCAAAAACAAAUGUUAUGCUUUUGCAAACUUUGUUUUUUGCGAACAAGGACAAAACGGAGGCUGCCAUAACUGAGCUGCUUGUGGGUUUGAAUUAUAUUUGCAGGUUUGAGAGGGAGAUGACGGCUAAGGCCUUGUUUGAAUGCAAUAACUCCAUUAAUGGGUUGCACAAUUUGCAGAGUUCUAGCUAGCUAGUGAAGGAAAAAGAAUUAAACCGUUUUCUUUUUCUUUUUCUUUUUCUUUUUGUUGGGGUUAUUUUAGUUCGUAUUUUGGAUUUCAAUUUUGAUUUCUGAAAUUUUACCAUCGUGUUUUGAAUUGAGCUGCGUUGAUAAGAUCUUCGGGGUUCGUUUUUGUAUCGAACUCUCGUUUGUAUAUGAUGAAAUAAAUAGAUAUAAAAUGUAAAUGAUUUGUUUCUUGAGAUAUUUUCCGAAAUCAAAAGUAGGGGAUUAUGAAUUUUGAGAUUAUAGUUCAUGCAUGAUCAUGUGAAAAAUAUUUGUUGAUACUCUGUACCAAUAAAAGAUCACAAAUUUUUUUUUUAAAAUAAGGUGAAUAUUUUCUUGUGGACUUGUAACACAUGUGUUUGGUUAUGAACAAUUGAUUAAAUAAUUAAAUUCGGCUACCAUAUAGAUUCUAAGCAGAGAUGCUAGGAACGAAAAUUCAACAACAAAAUUUUGAGUGUAAUUGUAAACGCUCUUAACAUUUUUAGCUACGAGUCCAUCAUUAGUCAAGACUCAUUGGCAGAGCUAGUAUGGGGUUAUUAUUCAUUCAUGACUCCAACAACGUCAACAAUCCUAUGUAUAUUUGUAUGUGUAUCGUAUUAGAUCCUAUAAACAGCUAGGCAAACUAAAUAACAACUUUCUCUUACUUUUUCUUCUAUUUUUUCUUUAUCAUCCCUGUCCUUCUUUAUCUCUUUUUGAGUGUAACUCUAUUGUGCACUCCCUUGGAAGCCUUCAACAUUACUUUACAGUUUCGUAUAGUUACCCUUGAUAAGCCUCCACAUAUCAUUGUUGUUGAUGACAUAUGUUAGCAUAUUCCUUUAACAAAUGUUGAUAAGAAUUGAGAUGUUCCUAGGUGCUCGACAAAAUGGUCUAAUGAAAAUUUUUCCGUCGAAAUCAUGACUCCGCCAUUACCAAAACUUUCAAAUUCAGUUUAUUCCAACGGGGAUACUUGAUACCGCACAUUUUAUUUUUAUUUUUAAUUUUAUUUUAUAAAGGACUCCCACUUAAACUCCUAAGUAAUAUAGCCUUUUAAUUUUCCGUUACAGAAUAAUCUAGCCUUUUUAUUGUGACCACUUUUUUUUAUUUUCCUCACUAUUUUAUUAGAAAAAGUAGAUAUAAGUAAAAACUAUGUCAACUUGAAAUAUAUGAUCUCUCACUAUUCACGCACAUUUUAUGCUCAUCAAAGGUACUUUUUAUGGUAAGGAAUUUGUAGCUUAAUCAAGAGUAUUCUUUGUAGCUGAUGCAGCAUUAAGUAAUCAAAUGAGUUACCAACGUAAUCCUUUCAAGAACAAGUCUAGAAUUCACCAGAUAAUUGAGAGAAACUCCAAAGGGUUGUUGUUGAAUUGAUAAUUGAAUGAACGAAUGGUUACAUCCAGAUGACUUAAAUAAUGAUUACAAAGGUUUGGAAAACUCAAAGGACUUCUAGAAAUUUAAACAACAUUAAUUCAACAUUAAUGGACGAGAAAAGAAAGGUCUGAUUUUAUUACAAGACUUUAAACACUAUUUUGGAAACUGAAAUGACCUCGGAUGGCUAAAAUUUGUCGUACAUCACGAGAAAUCUGUGAAUUGGACUUGCGGCGUAGUUUUCUUUCUAAAAAGGUAUCAUGGGCCCAAAUCGGAGCUCGAACAUUAAAUCUGCAAAUUCCUACUAUGUCUUUUUGUCCUUCGAUGGUCCAUUUCCUCUUCGAUCCAUUCUGCCAUUCGUUCUACAUCAAUAGCAUUUGAAAUUUCGAUUUUGAAUUUCUCUUCUCCAAUAUUGAUUGAAUAAAAAAACUACUCUAUCCGCAAACAAAGAAAAAAAAAAAAAACUACUCUAACUUACGAGACUACCAAAAUUAAUUGGCCUAACCUCCAUUCGCAAGCACAAGACGAUAUAAAAAAUUGAAUUCAUGCAAGUAAAUCAUGUAAAUCCAGAAGGGACUUCAUGUGAACAUGUGAGUGAAUCUCUACCUUUCGGCCAGACCCAAACACUAGUGGACAAAAUCCAAACACACAAAUUCAAAGAAAUAGUAAUUAAAAAGUGUUUGAUCCUCCAGCUAAUGGCAUUUUGCUUAGUGAAAUUCAUAUAAUUGCAAAGAUGCAUUGCCCCACUUAUAAUAUAUACUUUGUAAAAGAUUCUUCGUUGACAUUCAUACGAUCAUUGUAUUUGAUGUGUUAAAAAGCACUCCAAAUUGAACCAUCUGGCAUUGAAAGACAAUUUAUAGGGGAUUAAGUGAAUGUGUUUUAGUUUGAAUUGAAAAAUCGAAUCUUGAGAUCUUUUUCCUCUGUAUUGAUACGAAUCAUGCUGUAGGAGAGGCAAAUCAAACACACAACUUUAAGUGACUGUUAGAGCAUCUCUAAUGAAGAUGUCAAAUUAAAUGUAAAAUUUCAUUUUAAUAGUAAAAUAAUCAAUAAGUGAAGAAAAUAAAGAAAUAUGUGUCCAAAAAAAAAAAAUUGGCGUUGUCUUCAAAUUUGGAGUGAAGAAUGUCAACCAUGUAAGAUUUUGGCAUCUCCUCUGAAGGAAGGGGAUCCUCUUCAGAUCCCUUUCCACCAAAUCCACUUAAAAUUCAACGGCUAUAAACAUGAGACCCCUUUAAAAGUUAUAAUAACUGUAGCCGUUGGAUUUUCGAAUCCACACUAAGUGGAUUCCGGAUCCUUUCCUUUGAAACCAUAAAAUCACCUUUCUUUUUGUUAAAGGAGUCCGCCUAGAAUUUUUGGCAUUUCUUUGGCAGAUUUUUUAUAGGCUACUCAGUUAUCUUAAGCCCAUUAGCCUUAGGUCCCAUAUGUUAAAGAAAAGCCCACUAAUCCCAGGUCCAUUAUGUUAAAGGAAAAAAAAUGUGUGAUUGGUGUUCUUAGUAUUUGGAGAGUGAGUAUGUUCUUUUACCGGCUACGGGACCAAUUGUUUGUCAUUGAUACUAUUGUUGUGUACGUAUUGAUACAUCAUUGACAAUACCAAUAUUGUACCAAUGAUAUGUCUCCUUUUUUAUUUUUUUUAUUUUAUAAAAAUCGGACAUCAUGCAUAAAAAAUUUCUAAUAAUUAAAUCUCGACUUUAAUUGUAAGUCAAUUAACUAAAAUAAUUAUAUUGUGUCUCAAUAUAUAAUCAAUGACAUAAAAUCAAAAGGAAAAGAAUUACAAACUUGAAAUUGAGCAACUAAACUAACAAAGACAAUGUUAUAUCUAUGCCAACUAAACAUUAUGAUAAUUAAGUUGUUCACCUAGGACUCUAAACCCUCCAAUGCAGCUUAUCACCCUUGCAAAGAGGGUUUUGCUUGGUCAAAAGUUCUUGCCCAGUCUUCUUGUAAUCCACAGAGCAUGAGUGUUCUUCAGGGUACCUAUGCUUCCCACAAAACACACCGCCGCAGCGGCAUUCGAACCCUGUCGGGCCAACCCUUUUCUUGCAGCUCAAGCACCUCUUUUUCUGCGAUAAAUCUGAUGAACCUUGUGAAGAUUGCGAAGGCAAAGAAGAAAUAACGGCUGCGGUAGCGGAGCUUGAGUCACUGAGUGUGUUGUCCACUGAAGCUAACCCUACCAUGGCUGCAGGCUUAGCAAACUGCUCUUCUUUCAGGUAUUGUCUGUAGCAAUUUGAGCACAUGUUCAUAUUCGUCACAGAGCCAAAGAAGCCGCAGCCUUUUGCACAGAGUGGAGGCUCCAUGUUGGUGUCGUUUCGUGAAUCCAUAUUUGGUUUCUUGAAUCUCUUUUUGUUACUUUUGCAAUCGCAGAGUUAAGUAAUACAAGGGAGGCGGAAAAUAGAACUUGAGAUUUCGAACUUAGAAAAAUGAACGCUCUCAAUUAACUGAACUACAAGCCCUUGCGGCAAAGUUAUACUUCUUAACAGGACUCCGAACUAAGCUUCUUAAUUUUUUUUCGAUUUCGAUUAUUAGUUAAGAGGUUUGGCGAGUAUGUGAGUAGUUUUAUAGUGCGAAGGGUGCUCGCACCUAGUAAUGUAGGAUUAGGAGUGGUAUGAAUUUCCUUUUCUUAUUAGGAUUGGUUUCUAAUUAACCUGCUCUGUACAGAUUUCUAAAUGUUUUUUGUUUCCUUCUUUUUCUUGUAGAAACUUUAAGUCGGUGGAGUGCAACUUUGCUCAUUCCCUAAAGUGGGGUAGUGCUGAUCUUCCUUAAUUGCCGUUAGAUUAGUAUUGAUUUAAUUAAGAAUUUAAGAUACAAAUAUCAAAACUUAAACUAAUCUAACGGUAAUUAUUGGGAUGAAUAUCACGCUCGCUUUAGAAGGUGGGCAAAAAUACACUCAAGUUAGUGGGUUCGGAAUCCACACACACACACACACAUAUAUAUAUAUAUAUAUAGGCCCUUUAAGGGAAGGGGUCCUCUUUUAAUAGUUAGAUUUGGCUUUAAUAAAAUUUUGUGGUUAAGAUUAAAUCACAAGCCACAUAAUUUCAUUAAAGCUAAAUCUAUCGGUCAAAAAGGUGUUCUCAUUUUUUUGAAAAAUGGGGAAAAAAUGGGGAUCACUUCCCUUAAAGCUUCCUGUAGAAUUUUUGAUGUGUAUUUCAUGAAGAAACAAUUACAAAAGAAACAUAUAUAUAGGAAAAGAAAGUAGACAUAAGCCUAACUUGCCUAACUUGCCUAACUUGCCUAACUUGCCUAAUUUCCUAACUUGCCUAACUUGCCUAAUUUACACAAAGAAUGUUGACUAGCCUAACUUCACUAGUCAUCCAACAUGUUUAUUUCAUGCAUACAUUUUAACACAAGAUAUGACUUGCAUGCAUUCUUCCCAACACCCCCUCAAGCUGGAUCGAGGGGAUUCACUGAGCCAAGCUUGCCCAAUAACCGAUGAAACUGAGAUGAUGCUAGUGCCUUUGUAAAAAGAUCUGCUAGUUGAUCAUGGCUUCGUGUGAACAUGGUCCGGAUGAUUUGCGUUUGAACUUGAGCUCUGAUGAAAUGACAAUCCACUUCAAUAUGUUUGGUUCUUUCAUGGAACACAGGAUUGGCAGCAAUGUGCAUGGCUGCCUGAUUAUCACACAUAAGCGUCAUAGGAGUAGAACUAGGAAACCCUAAGUCUGAAAGAAGCCCUUUAAGCCAAAUGAGUUCACAUGCAGUGGCUGCCAUGGCUCGAUACUCAGCCUCUGCGCUGGAACGAGCAAUGACCUGUUGCUUCUUACUCUUCGGAUAGUUGCACAAACAUUGUUGAAGGUAGGCAGGUCUUGACUCAUCAAGAUGUGACUCCUUAGGUCCUCGUACUCAGAGCUCAAACUCCCUAACAGCUGAUAAAUUUUGUCUUCCUCAGCUCGUUUUAGGAGAAUGGUAGGAUCUGUGGUAUGAGGGAGAUAUACAUCCAACUCAUUCCACAUGGCUUUGAGGCUCCCAAGGUGUUGAACAAAUGCUUUCCCUUCUUGUUGAGCACUGGCAAUGUCCUUCUUUAAUUGGAAGACCCGUGCAUAGUUGUUUUGAUUUCCAUACAUAUCCUGCAAAGCUUUCCAAAGAUCAUGUGCGGAAUUGGAGUAGCUAAAAAUUUCAGCAACAUGUUUCUCCAUGGUGUUGAGCAGCAAGGACAUGACAAGUUGAUCUUUGCAGAGCCAUGCAUUGUAUGUAGAGGAAGAACUGUCUGGAGCUUCCACGCUUCCAUUUACAAACCCUAACUUCCCUUUGCCUCCGAGAGCUAGUGAAACAGCUCGGACCAAGGAAGAUAAUUGAACUCGUUCAAGAGAACUGAACACAAACGUUGAUUGGUGUUAACCUCAACGUCUGAGAAGUUUGGAGAGAGAUUGUGCCGGGUUUCCUCAUCAUGGUUCACAGAACUUUCUUCAGUCAUGACUUAGACUUUGAAAGAAAGAAAAAAUUGCAGCAGCAAGAAUGGCAGAGACAGGUUACAAAUGAACCUGCUCUGAUACCAUGUAGAAUUUUUGAUGUGUAUUUCAUGAAGAAACAAUUACAAAAGAAACAUAUAUAUAGGAAAAGAAAGUAGACAUAAGCCUAACUUGCCUAACUUGCCUAACUUGCCUAACUUGCCUAAUUUCCUAACUUGCCUAACUUGCCUAAUUUACACAAAGAAUGUUGACUAGCCUAACUUCACUAGUCAUCCAACAUGUUUAUUUCAUGCAUACAUUUUAACACAAGAUAUGACUUGCAUGCAUUCUUCCAACACUUCCUCUAUAUAUAUAUAUAUAUAUAUAUAUAUAUAUAUAUAUAUAUAUAUUACGUUGGUUUAAACCCUUUUAAUGCAUGCAUAAUCCAUGUGGUAUUUUGGUGUUUUUCUUAUAACUACUUGAUGCUUUUAAUUUUAAGGGCUAUUUUUGCACACAUCAUAGUAUCGUCAAUGAUACUAUGGUGAAAAUACUUUGGACCAAUAUGUGAAUUAUUUUCCAGGGUAAGAGCGUCUUUUCAAGUCAAGUUUAUAGAUCGAAAAACUAAAAAUAACUAAAAAGAAAUCAAGUGAACUAAUCCAUCAAUUACUAAUAAGCUCUGACUGAUUCAGAUGAGAAACACAAUCUCUCAAUGGUAAAUUUCCCUUCUUACUCUUACGUCCACUGUCGUCGUUUUCUAAAAUUUGUUUGGUUUCCAAGCUACUCCGGAACAGCUACGGCUGUACCAAAUAUUAGUUUCAUAUCGAUUCAAAACAGGAAAGAGAAUUAUAUAUAUAAGGGUAAAAGACUGUUUACUAUCCUCAUGUUUAGUGAUUUUCAACAUUUAGUACAUCAAUUUUUUUUCAUCCCAGAGUCAUACCUAAAGUGUUAAUUUUGGGACAAUUUCAUACAUCUGUUAGUUAAACUGUUAGUUCUCCUGUUAAGUGAUGACAUGGCGCCCAGGUGGACAAUGACUGGGCGCCAUGUGUCAUUAAAAAUAUUAAAAAAUUAAUUAAAUUAAAAAAAAACGAACUGCAACCAAGGAGAAGAAGAAGGAGGAGGAAGAAGAAGAAGAAAAAAAAAUUCGAAUUUGGGGAAGAAGGAGGAGGAGGAAGAAGAAGAAAAAAAAAAUCGAAUUGGGGAAGAAGAAGAAGAAAAAAAAAUUCGAAUUUGGGGAAGAAGGAACAAAAAAAUUCGAAUCUGGGGAAGAAGGAGGAGGAGGAGGAGGAAGAAGGAAAAAAAAAUCGAAAAACUUGAAUCUGGGGAAGAAGAAGAAGAAGAAGAAACAACAACAACAACAACAAAGCCUUUUCCCACUAAGUGGGGUCGGCUAUAUGAAUCCUAGAACGCCAUUGCGCUCGGUUUUGUGUCAUGUCCUCCGUUAGAUCCAAGUACUCAAGUCUUUUCUUAGGGUCUCUUCCAAAGUUUUCCUAUGUCUUCCUCUACCCCUUCGGCCCUGAACCUCUGUCCCGUAGUCACAUUUUCGAACCGGAGCGUCAGUAGGCCUUCUUUGCACAUGUCCAAACCACCGGAACCGAUUUUCUCUCAUAUUUCCUUCAAUUUUGGCUACUCCUACUUUACCUCGGAUAUCCUCAUUCCCAAUCUUAUCCUUUAUCGUGUGCCCAUACAUCCCACGAAGCAUCCUCAUCUUCGCUACACCCAUUUUGUGUACGUGUUGAUGCUUCACCGCCCAACAUUCUGUGCCAUACAACAUCGCUGGCCUUAUUGCCGUCCUAUAAAAUUUUCCCUUGAGCUUCAGUGGCCUACGACGGUCACACAACACGUCGGAUGCACUCUUACACUUCAUCCAUCCAGCUUGUAUUCUAUGGUUGAGAUCUCCAUCUAAUUCUCCGUUCUCUUGCAAGAUAGAUCCUAGGUAGCGAAACCGGUCACUUUUUGUGAUCUUCGCUAGAUUGCUCCGGUCAUUAGUGUGGAUAAGUAUAUAAAUGGAUAGAGAUAGGAAAGCAAACACAAGAUGUACGUGGUUCACCCAGAUUGGCUACGUCCACGGAAUAGAGGAGUUCUCAUUAAUUGUGAAGGGUUUACACAAGUACAUAGGUUCAAGCUCUCCUUUAGUGAGUACAAGUGAAUGAUUUAGUACAAAUGACAUUAGGAAAUAUUGUGGGAGAAUGAUCUCGUAACCACGAAACUUCUAAGUACCGGAGUGUGGUAUCAUCUUGACUUGCCUUAUCUGUCUCAUACGUAGAUGCGGCAUCUUCUCUGGAAGUACUCUUCCUCCAUCCAGGGGUGGUAUCUGUAACUGGUGGAGAUGCACAAGGUAAUGUAUCAAUUUCACUUGAAGCUUACUUGUAGUUUCAGGCUUGGUCAAGCACGAUACAAACCAUGUAGUAGGAGUCCCCCAAGUCGCCGGGCUAGGGAAUCUGCUGAAAGAGGUGACAGACAAGGUAAGCAAUCAGAGCUCCGACUGAUUGUUCACAUUCUCCCUAUCUUGCAGGCAGCAUGAAGGAUAAAGAGAAGAAAAAUGAGAAGAGAUGAUAUGGGAUACUUUUGCUUUUGAAGAAGUAACUUUCCACAGGCUUAUUCUUGAACCGGGCUGGAGGGUUUUCUGGUUUCCUCCAGAGUAUAAGGCCGACUGAAGAAUUUGAGGGUCAAAACAAGUCCAUCAAAUCUAGAGUACGUUCGACCCUGCUGAUAUGGGAUACUUUUGCUUUUGACAGAGUAGUGGAUGUAUCGGCACGUGUGCUGUUACGCUUGUCUCCACAUGCUUCCUUGUAUCCUUCUCACUUGCCCUAUCUGUUCCUCAGGCAGAUGCGGUAUCUUCCCUGGAAGCAUAAGAUGUUGAAGAUGAGUACUCGAGAGCAAUGCCAGGUAAGUAAUCAGGUAAGGGGUUCCAGGCAGUCAGUUCCUGGCUGGAAGCUUGAUUCCAAGUGCUGACUGAUUGCUCUCUUUCUCCUUGUCUUGCAGGUAAGAACAAGGCCAAAGGAAAUGACAGGGAAAAAGUAUGAUAUGGGAUACUCUUGCUUUUAACCCUGAUGAUAUGAGAUAUUCUUGCUCUAGUAUAGCUUGUUUACAGAGGUAUUAUCGGGGGGAAAGAAAGCUGAAUAUUUCGAAAGGCUUCGUUGGGAGUGCCCUCUCAGAUAAGAGAAAGGGUUGAGCAUUUUUGCAGGUCUGCCUGUCCGUUAGGGAUGGAGGUCGACAUAUAUAGGAGUCUCCCUAACAUCAAGUAAUAAUGUUAUUCCUUUACCCUGCUUGGUCAUAGCACGGUAGUGGGAGCUGCCAGCUUCACAUGUUUUAACUCUGUCAGAGCACUUUGAAAAAGUGGUCUGUGGUAUCUGGAAAGCUGAUGUUGCGUGUGAAGAUUACAGACAAGCUUUAUCCAAGGAGAUCCAGCUCUUGAAGUUGGGAAAAUGGUGCCUCUUCGGUUUUCGAACAAGCAAUCCUGUCGGGGAUCUGGCUCUCGAGAUUCGGAGAACGAUACCUCUUCGAUUUUUGAGAAAGCAAUCCUGCUGGGGGUCUGGCUCUCGAGAUUCGGAGAGCGGUGUCUCUUCGAUUUUUGAGAAAGUAAUCAUGUUGGGAGUCUGGCUCUCGAGAUUCGGAGGGCGGUGCCUCUUCGAUUUUGGAGCAAGCAAUCUUGUUGGGAGUGUUUUCUCGAAUGUGAGUAAAGGUUGGGCAUGUUUGCUAGUCUACCUUGCCACGAAGCACAAAGGUUGACACACAGGGACUUUCCAAUUAUCCAGCAGUGGUACUGUUCCUUUACCCUCUCUUCGAUUUUUGAGAAAGUAAUCAUGUUGGGAGUCUGGCUCUCGAGAUUCGGAGGGCGGUGCCUCUUCGAUUUUGGAGCAAGCAAUCUUGUUGGGAGUGUUUUCUCGAAUGUGAGUAAAGGUUGGGCAUGUUUGCUAGUCUACCUUGCCACGAAGCACAGAGGUUGACACACCGGGACUUUCCAAUUAUCCAACCGUGGUACUGUUCCUUUACCCUUGUGGGUAAUAAUAUGGUAGUUAGACCUUCAAAAUUUAUGUGUCUAAACUUUGUUAGUGUUGUUUCUUUGCAAUUCUUUUACCCUUCUUGGUCAGAGCGAUGUAGCGGGAGCUGCAAGCUUCACGUGUCUCAACUUUGUCAGAGAACUUUGGCAAAGUUAUCUGUGGUACCCAUGAGUUACUGUUGCGUGUGGGAAGUGGGUGAUUGAACAGUACGAUUCAUGUGCUUUCUACUUCGCCAGAAAUCUUCGACAGAAUGCCCAUAAUUUCCGCAAAGCUGAGUGUGCGUGUGACAGGUGCUGACAAGGCUGGAAAAGUAGGUGCCUCUUCGAUUUCUGAGAUCGGCCCUCGUGGUCUCUUAGCAGCCUAGCUUUUGAGAAAGCAAGCCUCUUCGAUUUCUGAGAUCGGCCUUCGUGGUCUUUGAGCAGCCCAGCUUUUGAGAAAGCAACGCCUCUUUGAUUUCUGAGAUCGACCCUCGUGGUCUCUGAGUAGCCCAGCUUUUGAGAAAGCAAACGCCUCUUCGAUUUCUGAAGCUUCGUCGAGUGCAGAUUUUUAUAGGGGCUGACAUUAAGUUCCAAAGCACACUUGAAUAUCCACCAGUAGAAGCUCCAUUCUUGUACUUCUAAGAUCUUGAUUUGUCCGACCUCUUCUCUCUUCAAUACCUUUGAAAAUGUCUGGCUCUUCCGACCAUCGUUUUGACUUGAACCUUGUUGAAGAGGCAGCCCCGCCUUCUCCAGACAACAUAUGGCGCCCAUUAUUCGUCUCCCCUACUGGUCUUCUUACCGUUGGGGAUUCCGUGAUGAAGAAUGAUAUGACCGCUGCGGUAGUGGCCAGGAACCUUCUCACUCCCAAAGAUAACAUACUACUUUCCAAACGGUCUGAUGAGUUGGCUGUUAAAGAUUCUCUGGCUCUCAGUGUUCAGUGUGCAGGUUCUGUGUCUAAUAUGGCCCAACGCCUAUUUGCUCGAACCUGCCAAGUUGAAUCAUUGGCGGCUGAAGUGAUGAGUCUCAAACAAGAGAUUAGAGGGCUCAAGCAUGAGAAUAAACAGUUGCACCGGCUCACACAUGACUAUGCUACAAACAUGAAGAGGAAGCUUGACCAGAUGAAGGAAUCUGAUGGUCAGGUUUUACUUGAUCAUCAGAGAUUUGUGGGUUUGUUCCAAAGGCAUUUAUUGCCUUCGUCUUCUGGGGCUGUACCGCGUAAUGAAGCUCUAAAUGAUCAACCUCUGAUGCCUCCUCCUUCUAGGGUUUUGUCCAGUACUGAGGCUCCGAAUGAUCCCCCUCCGGUGCCUUCUCUUUCUGGGGCUCUACCGACUGCUGAGACUUCUCCUAAGCAACCUUUGUGAAGGCUCCCUCUUGUUUGUUUAUUUUGACUCAAGUAUAUGUACAUAUUUGUAACUUAUCGGGGAUAUCAAUAAAUAAGCUUUCCUUCAUUUCAACGUAUUGUGUUAAAUACACCAAAGCCUUCUUCGCUAAGUUCUUUGAAUUUUCUUUUGUUGAAGCUUGUAUGUUGAAGCUUUGUGAGUGAAGCAUGUAGGUUGAGGUAGUAGUGUUCCCUUAAUUUCCCGAGUGAGGAAAACUUCUCGGUUGGAGACUUGGAAAAUCCAAGUCACUGAGUGGGAUCGGCUAUAUGAAUCUUAGAACGCCAUUGUGUUCUGUCCUAUGUCAUGUCCUCCGUUAGAUUCAAGUACUCUAAGUCUUUUCUUAGGGUCUCUUCCAAAGUUUUCCUAGGUCUUCCUCUACCCCUUCGGCCCUGAACCUCUGUCCUAUAGUCGCAUCUUCUAAUCGGAGCGUCAGUAGGCCUUCUUUGCACAUGUCCAAACCACUGUAACCGAUUUUCUCUCAUCUUUCCUUCAAUUUCGGCUACUCCUACUUUACCCCGGAUAUCCUCAUUCCUAAUCUUAUCCUUUCUCGUGUGCCCACACAUCCAACGAAGCAUCCUCAUCUCCGCUACACCCAUUUUGUGUACGUGUUGAUGCUUCACCGUCCAACAUUCUGUGCCAUACAGCAUCGCCGGCCUUAUUGCAGUCCUAUAAAAUUUUCCCUUGAGCUUCAGUGGCAUACGGCGGUCACACAACACGCCGGAUGCACUCUUCCACUUCAUCCAUCCAGCUUGUAUUCUAUGGUUGAGAUCUCCAUCUAAUUCUCCAUUCUUUUGCAAGAUAGAUCAUAGGUAACGAAAACGGUCGCUCUUUGGUAUUUCUUGAUCUCCGAUCCUCACCCCUAACUCGUUUUGGCUUCCAUUUGCACUGAACUUGCACUCCAUAUAUUCUGUCUUUGAUCAGCUUAGGCGAAGACCUUUAGAUUCCAACACUUCUCUCCAAAGGUUAAGCUUUGCAUUUACCCCUUCCUGAGUU
Molecule: long non-coding RNA, 29221 nt
Filed under: Malus domestica (apple)
Lineage: Eukaryota; Viridiplantae; Streptophyta; Magnoliopsida; Rosales; Rosaceae
Description: long non-coding RNA (MDOM_LNC007145)
Source: RNAcentral